Molecule: transfer RNA, 75 nt
Filed under: Xanthomonas phage XacN1
Lineage: Duplodnaviria; Heunggongvirae; Uroviricota; Caudoviricetes
Description: tRNA-Val
Rfam family: tRNA
About the family: Transfer RNA (tRNA) molecules are approximately 80 nucleotides in length. Their secondary structure includes four short double-helical elements and three loops (D, anti-codon, and T loops).
Source: RNAcentral
GGGAAGUUAGCUCAGGGGUAGAGCGGCUCCCUUACAAGGAGCGGGUCGGGGGUUCGAAACCCUCACUUCCUACCA